RNAcentral lists this transfer RNA (73 nucleotides) under Danio rerio (zebrafish). RNAcentral describes it as "tRNA-Val (TAC) (tRNA-Val-TAC-25-1)". It matches the Rfam family "tRNA". From Rfam's summary of the family: Transfer RNA (tRNA) molecules are approximately 80 nucleotides in length. Their secondary structure includes four short double-helical elements and three loops (D, anti-codon, and T loops). Further hydrogen bonds mediate the characteristic L-shaped molecular structure. tRNAs have two regions of fundamental functional importance: the anti-codon, which is responsible for specific mRNA codon recognition, and the 3' end, to which the tRNAs corresponding amino acid is attached (by aminoacyl-tRNA synthetases). tRNAs cope with the degeneracy of the genetic code in two manners: having more than one tRNA (with a specific anti-codon) for a particular amino acid; and 'wobble' base-pairing, i.e. permitting non-standard base-pairing at the 3rd anti-codon position. Lineage: Eukaryota; Metazoa; Chordata; Actinopteri; Cypriniformes; Danionidae. The record is from Rfam by way of RNAcentral.
GUUUCCAUAGUGUAGUGGUUAUCACGUUUGCCUUACAUGCGAAAGGUCCCCAUUUCGAAACUGGGUGGAAACA